Molecule: ribosomal RNA, 1588 nt
Filed under: human metagenome
Description: bacterial LSU rRNA
Rfam family: Bacterial large subunit ribosomal RNA
Source: RNAcentral
UCAUAAACAACCAGGAUGUUGGCUCAGAAGCAGCCACCAUUUAAAGAGUGCGUAAUAGCUCACUGGUCGAGAGACGCUGCGCCGAAAAUGUCCGGGGCUCAAGCACGGAACCGAAGCUAUGGCAUUGCGUAAGCAAUGGGUAGGGGAGCGUUCUUAUGGGGAAGAAGCAUUACCGUAAGGAGAUGUGGACACAUAAGAAGUGAGAAUGCCGGUAUGAGUAUCGAAAAGAAAGGUGAGAAUCCUUUCCACCGAAAGCCCGAGGGUUCCUGAGCAACGAUCGUCGUCUCAGGGUAAGUCGGGACCUAAGCCGAGGCACAGACGCAUAGGCGAUGGACAACAGGUUGAAAUUCCUGUACCGGAUGGAGUCAUUUGAGCAAUGGAGUGACGCAGGAGGGCACAUGAUCGCGCGACUGGAAGAGCGCGUCCAAGUGCGUAUGUUGAAUCGGAGGCAAAUCCCCGAUUCUGAAAGCAGAGACAUGAUGGGGAGUUAUAAGCGAUUAUGACGAACUCAUGGAUCCCACACUGCCAAGAAAAACUUCUAGCGAGACGAAAUCCGCCCGUACCGUAAACCGACACAGGUAGGCGGGGAGAGAAUCCUAAGGUGCGCGGGAAAACCCUCGUUAAGGAACUCGGCAAAUUGCAUCCGUAACUUCGGGAGAAGGAUGGCCCUGAGUAGGCGAAGUGCAGAAACGCACGGAACAGAAAAGGGUGGCAGAAAAGAGGCCCAAGCAACUGUUUACCAAAAACACAGGUGCCUGCGAAAGCGAAAGCUGAAGUAUAGGUGCUGACGCCUGCCCGGUGCUGGAAGGUUAAGGAGAGAGGUUAGCGCAAGCGAAGCUUUGAACUGAAGCCCCAGUGAACGGCGGCCGUAACUAUAACGGUCCUAAGGUAGCGAAAUUCCUUGUCGGGUAAGUUCCGACCCGCACGAAAGGUGUAACGAUUUGGGCACUGUCUCAACGAGGGACCCGGUGAAAUUGAAAUACCUGUGAAGAUGCAGGUUACCCGCGACUGGACAGAAAGACCCCAUGGAGCUUUACUGUAACCUAAUAUUGGGUUCUGAUAUUCGACGCACAGGAUAGGUGGGAGGCUUGGAGCAUGGUCCUCUGGGAUCAUGGGAGCCGCCGUUGGGAUACCACCCUUCGAAUAUCGGGAUUCUAACCGCAGGAGCAACGAUCCUCGGGACAGUGUUAGGCGGGCAGUUUGACUGGGGCGGUCGCCUCCUAAAGGGUAACGGAGGCGCCCAAAGGUUCCCUCAGCGCGGACGGAAACCGCGCGACGAGUGUAAAGGCAGAAGGGAGCUUGACUGCGAGCCAAACACGGCGAGCAGGUACGAAAGUAGGGCUUAGUGAUCCGGUGGCAUCCAAGUGGAAGGGCCAUCGCUCAACGGAUAAAAGCUACCCUGGGGAUAACAGGCUAAUCUCUCCCAAGAGUCCAUAUCGACGGGGAGGUUUGGCACCUCGAUGUCGGCUCAUCACAUCCUGGGGCUGAAGUCGGUCCCAAGGGCUGGGCUGUUCGCCCAUUAAAGUGGUACGUGAGCUGGGUUCAGAACGUCGUGAGACAGUUCGGUCCCUAUCCAUCGCGGGCGUAA